UAAAUAUCUGAUGAAAGAAUCAUAGAAUCAGGGAAGAAGCCCAGUUCCAAGAGUCUGUAGUGGGCGAAUACAAAGUGUGGACUUUCUCUGACUCUCUCCAAGUUUGCCCGCUAUGAUCAGACUGGGUCCUUUCUGAGGCUGAGCUUGCAGAAAGGAAUUCAGCCAAGGAGACAGGAGUGAACACCAGGCAGGGCCCGGAAGCAUUCAUCACUGUGGACAGGCGAGCACAGGUAACCAUCAACUUUUAGUGGAAGAGCAUCCAUGGCUACUCACAGCAUGGGAAGACAAGUUUUAGGUCCCAGAUGAUCAGCUGAGCUGGUGAGGAGUCAGGGAGGUGUCUGAGCUGGAAAUGGAAGCAGAUGUACGUGUGUAAAUUGCACUUACAUAAAAGUUGCUUCGUUAACAUGGCACCAAACCUUCUAGUUGUAACGUUGGGUCAAAAAAAUAGCUUAGACGGCAAGCCAUGUAGACAGAUCCUUGCUUUCCUAAAUUUCUGUCUCCUUCUUUUUAUUAGAUUAUCCCCUGAGCAUGAUACUUGAAGAGAUACUGCCCAUCAAACAAAUGGCAUCUUAAGUAACUACUGUCUCAUGGUGAUUAGAGACACAGAACUGCCCAUCAAGUUUCUCCCUGCCAAGAAAUGCCAUGUGGAGUUGCUCUAUUCGAGCCAAAAGCACAUGAGAUUAAAUUCCUUGGCAGACCACUGUUCCGAUCAACAGGGACAUGUCCCCGAGGUACUCCUGCCUGUGGUCCCUGGCUGCCAAUUGGUCAUUCCCGUAUCCUGGACUGCCUUCCUCCUCCCUGCUGCCCACAGCCUAUCAGCUCACCCACGCUGGGCCCUAUAGGCAUGGGGAGGCAGGUUUUCUGAAGAUCGUGGAAACACCUUUGGCCAAGAGACCGGUGAGACCUGAGUGCUGAUUCCUGGCAAACGGAAAGGACUGCGUUGGGAGGCAGGUUCACCAGGCCUUGCCUCAGCUCCUGCAUGAAAUUCACUUAACUGUCAGUCCUCAGUUUCCCCACCCAGGAUCGAAUGCUCUGGAUACAUGCAAUCUCCCUCCUACAUGGUCCCUGCUCCUCGACAGUUGAACGUGGCUAGAGAGAAGCAGAUGGGCCACACUGAUUGGUCUCGCUUUCAAUUUAUUGCUGCAAAUUUCUAGUGGGCACUCAGCACUGUCUAGAAGCCCUAACCUCUCCCCAGACUAUUGUGCUCUCCUCUUCCAGACGACUAUUGCCCCCUUCUCCUCUCCCCUCAAACCUUCAACCCCCUCCUCUUGCUCUCAUUACUCUCAGCUAAUACAAUACUCUUUAUUUCACUGAAAAAAAAAAAAUAGAAGCAUCAAAAGAGAACCACCUUUUCAUCCUGUCGCCAAUCAACCAAUCCACCCACAUCUGCGUCACCUUCUCUGCCUCCCCUGCUCCCUCACCCCCUCCUCUAGGGUGACCAACCACCUCAGGUUGCUUGGAUCUGAGGGUUUUGCUGGGAGGUGGGCCUUUUGGUACAAACAACAGGCAAGUCUUGGGCAAACCGGGAUGAGUUGCUCUCGCC
This 1543-nucleotide long non-coding RNA is filed under the name Felis catus (domestic cat). RNAcentral's name for it is "lncRNA (ENSFCAG00000042204.2)". Lineage: Eukaryota; Metazoa; Chordata; Mammalia; Carnivora; Felidae. The record is from RNAcentral.